Molecule: ribosomal RNA, 467 nt
Filed under: uncultured bacterium
Lineage: Bacteria
Description: partial 16S ribosomal RNA
Rfam family: Bacterial small subunit ribosomal RNA
Source: RNAcentral
GACGAACGCUGGCGGCGUGCUUAACACAUGCAAGUCGAACGGAAGGGCCCUGCUUUUGUGGGGUGCUCGAGUGGCGAACGGGUGAGUAACACGUGAGUAACCUGCCCUUGACUUUGGGAUAACUUCAGGAAACUGGGGCUAAUACCGGAUAGGAGCUCCUGCUGCAUGGUGGGGGUUGGAAAGUUUCGGCGGUUGGGGAUGGACUCGCGGCUUAUCAGCUUGUUGGUGGGGUAGUGGCUUACCAAGGCUUUGACGGGUAGCCGGCCUGAGAGGGUGACCGGCCACAUUGGGACUGAGAUACGGCCCAGACUCCUACGGGAGGCAGCAGCGGGGAAUAUUGCACAAUGGGCGGAAGCCUGAUGCAGCAACGCCGCGUGCGGGAUGACGGCCUUCGGGUUGUAAACCGCUUUCGCCUGUGACGAAGCGUGAGUGACGGUAAUGGGUAAAGAAGCACCGGCUAACUACGU